Molecule: ribosomal RNA, 761 nt
Filed under: uncultured bacterium
Lineage: Bacteria
Description: bacterial SSU rRNA
Rfam family: Bacterial small subunit ribosomal RNA
Source: RNAcentral
AGAGUUUGAUCCUGGCUCAGAGCGAACGCUGGCGGCAGGCUUAACACAUGCAAGUCGAACGGGCGUAGCAAUACGUCAGUGGCAGACGGGUGAGUAACGCGUGGGAACGUACCUUUUGGUUCGGAACAACUGAGGGAAACUUCAGCUAAUACCGGAUAAGCCCUUACGGGGAAAGAUUUAUCGCCGAAAGAUCGGCCCGCGUCUGAUUAGCUAGUUGGUGGGGUAAUGGCCCACCAAGGCGACGAUCAGUAGCUGGUCUGAGAGGAUGAUCAGCCACAUUGGGACUGAGACACGGCCCAAACUCCUACGGGAGGCAGCAGUGGGGAAUAUUGGACAAUGGGGGCAACCCUGAUCCAGCCAUGCCGCGUGAGUGAUGAAGGCCCUAGGGUUGUAAAGCUCUUUUGUGCGGGAAGAUAAUGACGGUACCGCAAGAAUAAGCCCCGGCUAACUUCGUGCCAGCAGCCGCGGUAAUACGAAGGGGGCUAGCGUUGCUCGGAAUCACUGGGCGUAAAGGGUGCGUAGGCGGGUUUCUAAGUCAGAGGUGAAAGCCUGGAGCUCAACUCCAGAACUGCCUUUGAUACUGGAAGUCUUGAGUAUGGCAGAGGUGAGUGGAACUGCGAGUGUAGAGGUGAAAUUCGUAGAUAUUCGCAAGAACACCAGUGGCGAAGGCGGCUCACUGGGCCAUUACUGACGCUGAGGCACGAAAGCGUGGGGAGCAAACAGGAUUAGAUACCCUGGUAGUCCACGCCGUAAACGAUGAA